GAUGAACGCUGGCGGCGUGCCUAAUACAUGCAAGUCGAGCGAACAGACGAUGAGCUUUCUCCCCUGACGGUAGCGGCGGACGGGCGAGUAACACGUGGAUAACCUACCUAUAAGACUGGGAUAACUUCGGGAAACCGGAUCUACUACCGGAUAAUAUAUCGAACCGCAUGGUUCAAUAGUUAAAGACGGUUUUGCUGUCACUUAUAGCCGAAGCCGCGCCGCAUUAGCUAGUUGGUAAGGUAACGGCUUACCAAGGCAACGAUGCGUAGCCGACCUGAGAGGGUGAUCGGCCACACUGGAACUGAGACACGGUCCAGACUCCUACGGGAGGCAGCAGUGGGGAAUAUUGCGCAAUGGGCGAAAGCCUGAUGCAGCAACGCCGCGUGAGUGAUGAAGGUCUUCGGAUCGUAAAACUCUGUUGUUAGGAAAGAACAAAAGUGUAUGUAACUAUGCCCGUCUUGACGGUACCUAAAGAGUAAGCACCGGCUAACUACGUG
Molecule: ribosomal RNA, 497 nt
Filed under: uncultured bacterium
Lineage: Bacteria
Description: partial 16S ribosomal RNA
Rfam family: Bacterial small subunit ribosomal RNA
Source: RNAcentral